Molecule: transfer RNA, 88 nt
Filed under: Christensenellaceae bacterium
Lineage: Bacteria; Bacillati; Bacillota; Clostridia; Christensenellales; Christensenellaceae
Description: tRNA-Ser
Rfam family: tRNA
About the family: Transfer RNA (tRNA) molecules are approximately 80 nucleotides in length.
Source: RNAcentral
GGAGAGUUGGCUGAGCGGUCGAAAGCGGCGGUCUUGAAAACCGUUAAGGUGAAAGCCUUCUGGGGUUCGAAUCCCUAACUCUCCGCCA